RNAcentral lists this ribosomal RNA (742 nucleotides) under Amplirhagada carsoniana. RNAcentral's name for it is "partial 16S ribosomal RNA". The record is from RNAcentral. Lineage: Eukaryota; Metazoa; Mollusca; Gastropoda; Stylommatophora; Camaenidae.
CGCGAAACCGGGCGAGCUACUGCUGAGCGCAUCGUAGUACAAAGAAUGUAGCACAAUUAUAGUAGAUUCGACAGUAGGGGUGAAAGGCCAACAAGUCUGGUGAUAACUUGUUAACUUAGAAAGGUAUUUAGUACGUAGGUCAAAUUACUAGUGAUAAGGCUGGUAAAAACUAUUUAAUUAAAUUGAGGCUCGUAUACAUUGUUUAACCGCACGUAAAUAAUUAUAUAAAUAUUAAUAUUUUAUCGAUAAUAGAAAAUAUAAGUUAGUACUGAACGGGAACAAAUAUUUAUUCUGUAGUUAUAAGUAAUUUAGGUACAGCUGAUGAACUCGGCAAUAUUUCCUUCACCUGUUUAUCAAAAACAUCGCCAGUAGGAGGUACUAUUGGUUUAUUCUGCUCCAUGUCUUAUAAAUAGCCGCAGUACCCUGACUGUGCAAAGGUAGCAUAAUCAUUUGGCUUAUAAUUGAAGUCUAGAAUGAAAGAACGCAUGGGGGAAAGCUCUAUUGGCUGUAAAAAACGAAUUUACUGAGUGGGUGCAAAUUCCCACAACUAAAUAAUAGACGAGAAGACCCUAGAAAUUUUUACAAGAGGUAAGGAUCGUUUUUGUUGGGGCAACAUAGUAGCAUGUUAAUCUACAAUAACUACACGACACAGUUCUAGAUAGAUUAAAUUACUCUAGGGAUAACAGCGUAAUUUAAAAAAGUUUGCGACCUCGAUGUUGGACUAGGAAGCAGAUACUUAAAA